This is a long non-coding RNA of Hydractinia symbiolongicarpus, 3505 nucleotides long. RefSeq lists it as uncharacterized. The transcript has 2 exons. The record is from RefSeq and is a predicted model, not a curated record. NCBI's taxonomy places the organism in Eukaryota, Metazoa, Cnidaria, Hydrozoa, Anthoathecata, Hydractiniidae.
GUUUUGUUUGCCCGUUUGUGCUUAUACAUAUCACAGUGGAUUAAGUUUAGGGGGGAUUGGUUAUAUAUGUCGCCCCUAAAAUUCACUGUGUAAUCUGUUGCGGCUGUGUGGCGCAUGUGCUGUUUUGUAAUGAAAUCGACAAAGCUGUGCUUAUUGUUUGUACUGUAAAACGAAAGUUGAUGUUUGACAUAUGAUUGAUGUGUCUGUGGAUCACAAUCGUUUAAGUUGACAUAUCUUAAAGAAGAAAAAAUAUUUAGAUUUUGUGUGAGCUGUAAAAAUUAGUUCUUUCACAUAAAUGGUUUUGCGUGCUUUUAAUUUAAAUUCCGAUACGCACGAUUUUACGCGAAAAAUGACCAUUUCGGAAACAUGGUUAAGAAUUGUAAUUUGAUCAAGGUUGAAUCAAUGAAAGUUUGAUGAGCUUUGUAGGUUGGUUUAGUCCGCAUAGAUUUUGCCAUACCAUUUCUUACUCAUGAUGACCAGCCAAAUCACAAUAUUGAAAAUAAAUUAAAGCAGAUGCGGACACGAAGAGGCAGAGAAUCAAGGAACCAAAAAAAAUAGUGGUGUGUGGUGAUGGACGGAACGUAAAAUUUAUAAUUAUAGUUUAGAAACAAAGCAUUAUGAAAAAAAAUAGUAAAAAUUACAUUUUAUUGUAAGCUAUGCCAAACACCCAUACUAUCCUUGCAGUAUGACUGAAUAAAUAUAAUAAGUAGAAUCAGGAUCAAAACCGCUGUUUAAUAAUAAAUUUUAUUUUGAUUCUUUUGCAGUAUUAGUUUAGAUCUAUAGUAUUUCAAUAUCAAAUAGCAAAAUGAAAACUUUAUUUGUGAAGCUACACCGAUUUUGAUUUGCAUUUAGGCCAAAGUUUUAGUAUAAGUAAAUUUCGACAUUUUAUUGGGAUAAGGGAUGUAAAAUAAUAAUAUUAAUCAUAGUCAUAAGAAAGAGAGAUAGUCUGGGUACUGCCGUGAUUGAGCUCCACUCCGGUAUCUGACUCGCGUUCAAAAAUUUUCUAGUGCCCAGUCUACUUUUAGGGGGACCAAAAAUUCAAAAACAGGCGGGAAGCUUUGUAUGCUAGGUACUUUGCAGAAGUUUACCUGGAUUUUUGGUAUUAUAAACUAUGGUUGGAGCUAAUUGUUCAGUGUGUGGUUGCUCUAGCUCCCGUAGAACAAGUGGAAUUUCUAUUUUCAAAAUUACUCAAGCGAAUGACGAGUACAACGCAUCCUGGAGAGACAAGCUAGUCGCUGUGAUAAUCAAAGAUCGCGUUAUUGAUAAACAGUUGAGAGCACAAAUAGAUAAACGUAAUCUGUAUAUUUGUGAGAAGCAUUUUCUACAAAGCCAGAUAGUACAACGUAAGUGUGAUUCAAUACACUUUCAGAUAUUUCAACUACAGAAAAAGGAUAUUUUACAUAUAAUAAUCACGACUGUGAUAAUAAUGCAUAUAUUAUACUUUCUUCUAGAUGAUAAAGGAAAAACACUCCUGGUUCCAUACCAACAUUGAAUUUUCCAGAGAAAAGUAUUCCUGCUUCAAGCACAUCAGUCAAACCACGACCUUCAGCAAAAAAUAUUGCAGAGAAAAAGUUAAAUAUAACAGUGGAACCGACCACCCAUAUAUGCUAUCAAUCGUUCGAGAAUUUUGUAAAUCGAGCCAAAAUGCUUAAGCUUCCUUGUGGUUAGAAUUUGGAUAUAUCUGCUGCUGAUGCAGUAAAAUUUUAGGCAUGUGACAAUAUUCAUGUCAAUCCUAAGUUGGAAAUAUAUGUUAAUGACUCAUUAUCAUUCACUAUCCGUGGAUACACUUGGAGUCUUCCUGACCAUCACAAUAUUUAUAAACUUUAUAAACGAUCAGUCCGAAAUAUCACUUUAUCAAACUUGAUCAGAGAGAUUUCGAAAUAUCAAAAUUGUCCUGGGGUUACCGAUUCAUCCAUUUCCCAAACAUUGUACUUCAACAAACACACCAUCUCCAAAAAAUUCACAAUACAUUCAGAUGAAAGUCAAUUACAACAAACCGUAUUCAUUCAUUCUCUGGAUUGCAUGUUAUUGAAUUUAUUUUGUUUGAAAAGUAUAUCAUGUUUUUUUUCGAAAAAUAUUGUCGACCAUCUCUACGGUUUUAGCAUUGGAAGAUAAAUCAUAUUUUAUUUCCUACUUAACAUAAAUUUUCCUGAUUACAGUUGGAUGAUAUUUUUUUUAUCAAGUAGUACCCCCGGUAGCAUAAUUAAACAAAAUGCCAGUGAAGGUUUUUUCAACCAUAAAAACUUAGUUGAAUAAGGAGCAAGUAUUGCUUGAUCCUUUAUGACUCUCAGAAUUUGACCUGGACAUAGUUAUGAUCAUAUUCAUACUAGCUACAAUUUUUAGUAUAGUAUAUAUUUAAAAAAAAUUGUGAAAACAUCAGAAAUUCAAGAUCGGAAACUACAGCUAGCUCACUAGCUAUAGCUAUGCCAGCAUAAUGAUUUUUUAUAAAUGUGUAGCUAUAAAAAUAGCUGUUUUUUAUGUGAUAGCCAUUUUAAUAAUGACCUUGAUCCAGUGAGGAUGUCUUUUUCUUCAGCUCAGUGCGCAGUGAUUUUGAUUUCUUAGCAUCAGAUGCUAUUUUGUGUAAUUGCUGUUUAUCUUUGACAUAAGAAAAAGUUCUUACUUUGACAAACAACAAAAGCAGAUCUUCUAACAAGUUCAAAGAAACCUCUUUAUUCAACGACUCAGUGCAAAGCUGCAGAAUUUUGUUGAAAUUAGACUUAACAUCAAAAUUCUUCAUCAGACAAGAAACUAUUUCUUUACUGUCAAUUUUGCUGCAGCUUUUGCUGGUGUAUGAACGAAAAAGUUCUUCAGCAGAUGUAAAUAUUAAAACCACUUCCUUUUUAACCUUCCAUAAGCCACCACGGUUCCUAGCAUUGACUAAUUUGUUUUGUGGUAUAUCUUGUGUGUCCUCAGAUUUUCCUGCCAACAGGAUAGCUAGAUAUUGUUGGUGGUAUAUGUGUUGUGAGGUCUUUCUUGACGAGAAGCGUAUACGACGAUACAUGGUACUGAAGACAUAUCCACCAAGAUAAGAUAUCACAGAUAGUUCUUUCUCUGAAAAGGUGUAUGAUGACUUAUUUGACACUUGCGGAAGAUCGUCUUUGUAUGUUGAACCAGACAAGUGACACAAAACUAGAUUUGCUAAUUCAAAUCCCAACAGUACGCUACAGUUGCGACUCAAGCUUGAACCAAAGGGAUGCUCUAUAUCCAAAAUAUUCUUAUAAAACAACGGAUAAAACUUUUCAGCAUCCCCAUCGAACGAUUUUAUAAGGUCUUUCACAAGAGCAUAAGACGGUAAAACAUUGUCAAGGCCACCAACUUUGAACAUUUUAAAUUCAUUGGUGAUUUCUGAUGGGUAACAUUCAUCACCAGCCAAUUUUGAAACAGCUUCUUCCAUAUAUUUUUUAAAAUACAGUGGAUGUAACAUCUUCUCAGCUUCCUUGAAAUCUCUAUCACCCGAUCCUGCAGAGUCACCUUUGUCGUGGUCACUAUGUUUCGCGUUGGUGUG